CGAGUCGGAUUCGGUUUGGGGCACUCCGCAGUGGGCGAAGUCGGUGCAAAUCCGACACUGUCGCGCAACGGUAAUGCCUGCGAGGCUCAGUCCGGUCGACUCCCUGAGGAGUGGCAGUUGU
This 121-nucleotide non-coding RNA is filed under the name Cutibacterium acnes. Lineage: Bacteria; Bacillati; Actinomycetota; Actinomycetes; Propionibacteriales; Propionibacteriaceae. The record is from RNAcentral.